RNAcentral lists this unclassified non-coding RNA (200 nucleotides) under uncultured fungus. RNAcentral describes it as "sequence contains ITS1". Lineage: Eukaryota; Fungi. The record is from RNAcentral.
GUACAUUAGUGCUUGCGCACGACAAUAGUUUUCAUUACAUUUGAGUGUGUGUAAAAAUCCUCUGCCAGCCGAAGCUAGCAAGAGGCCAGAAGUUCACAAGGGUAUUGGAUGAAAGUCACCCACGUGCACUUGCCGGGGCCAGCACUGAAGGUAACGAUUCACAAUCAAUAAUGAUCCUUCCGCAGGUUCACCUACGGAAA